AGUAGAAGAUCAAAGAUUGCACCGUGAUACAGAUGACGUAACAUACCAAGUCUAUGAGGAACAAGUAUAUGAACCUCCAGAAAAUGAAGGGAUAGAAAUCACAGAAGUAACUGCUCCCCCUGAGGAUAAUCCUGUAGAAGAUUCACAGGUAAUUGUAGAAGAAGUAAGCAUUUUUCCUGUGGAAGAACAACAGGAAGUACCACCAGAAACAAAUAGAAAAACAGAUGAUCCAGAACAAAAAGCAAAAGUUAAGAAAAAGAAGCCUAAACUUUUAAAUAAAUUUGAUAAGACUAUUAAAGCUGAACUUGAUGCUGCAGAAAAACUCCGUAAAAGGAGCCUCCGCCCAGGCUGAAGUGCAGUGGCACAGUCUCGGCUAACUGGAACCUCUGCUUCCUGAGUUUAAGCAAUUCUCCUCCCGAGUAGCUGGGAUUACAGGUGCUCACCACCAUGCCUGGCUAAUUUUUGUAUUUUUAGUAGAGACAGGGUUUCACCAUGUUGCCCAGGCUGGUCUUGAACGCCUGACCUCAAGUGAUCCACCCGUCUCAGCCUCCGAAAGUGCUGGGAUUACAGGUGUGAGCCAUAAAUGAGAUUAAAAUAAUAAUAAUAAUAAUAACACUGUCAAGUAUCAUAGAAGUGGAACUUUUUAAUUUUAUAGCUCCUUGAUGCAAAAAGAAAAACUAGGUCAGUCCAUUACUCAGGAUAGUAAUUGGUAGAUGAAAUGACAUUCUUCUUACUUAGGGUUAACCUCAUGCACCUCCAGUUUUCAGGGUAACUUAUUUGUAUUUUAAUUUAUCAAUAUAUUUGAAAUAUUACUUGCAUUUCUUUAUAGAUAUUGCAAUUUUGAAAACAAUAAAUUGAAACUGGA
This 865-nucleotide small RNA is filed under the name Pongo abelii (Sumatran orangutan). Its description in RNAcentral is "processed transcript". Lineage: Eukaryota; Metazoa; Chordata; Mammalia; Primates; Hominidae. The record is from RNAcentral.